UCCCUGAUGGUCUAGUAGCUAAGAUUCUGCACUCCCAAUUCAGGGAGCCAGGGUUCGAUUCCUAGUCAGGGAA
This 73-nucleotide transfer RNA is filed under the name Capra hircus (goat). It matches the Rfam family "tRNA". From Rfam's summary of the family: Transfer RNA (tRNA) molecules are approximately 80 nucleotides in length. Their secondary structure includes four short double-helical elements and three loops (D, anti-codon, and T loops). Further hydrogen bonds mediate the characteristic L-shaped molecular structure. tRNAs have two regions of fundamental functional importance: the anti-codon, which is responsible for specific mRNA codon recognition, and the 3' end, to which the tRNAs corresponding amino acid is attached (by aminoacyl-tRNA synthetases). tRNAs cope with the degeneracy of the genetic code in two manners: having more than one tRNA (with a specific anti-codon) for a particular amino acid; and 'wobble' base-pairing, i.e. permitting non-standard base-pairing at the 3rd anti-codon position. The record is from Rfam by way of RNAcentral. Lineage: Eukaryota; Metazoa; Chordata; Mammalia; Artiodactyla; Bovidae. RNAcentral also lists the same sequence under 1 other name.